Aphis gossypii (cotton aphid) is the source of this 4756-nucleotide long non-coding RNA. RefSeq lists it as uncharacterized. Lineage: Eukaryota; Metazoa; Arthropoda; Insecta; Hemiptera; Aphididae. The transcript has 8 exons. The record is from RefSeq and is a predicted model, not a curated record.
GUGACAUAUUAAAUGUUAUUGAAUUUGUUGGUGACAUCUGUUCCAAGUCUUUGCUCCGUAUAAACGAUAUCGUACCGUCUUCAAAUAACUGCAGUUUAUUUUAUUUUGUUUUCUCAGCGUUUUGUACAUCUACAGAGUUUAAGGUCCAACGGCAUCUCAGAUAAGCGAUUUAGCGACAUCAGUAGUGGUUUCAUUUUUCCGGGAUCAUCUAAUAACAGCAUAAAAGAAUAUGGUUGUUCAACUCGUCGUGAAUCGAAUGACAUUAAGCGCGCCAGCGCCUACAAGUUGAAAUUUCUUCGAACCGUUUCGCUGAAAAAGAGAAUAACAAAUACUCGAGUAUAACAAGAAUCAAUCAAAUUAACAAAGAAAAAGGUAAAGCAUGGUACCGCUCUCAUGUGUAUUAGAUACUGAGUGGAUCGCUGUAAUGGAUGUACACGUGAGUAAACAGUGUACACAUUCACUAUAGUGUAUACCUGAGGGCAAGUGUGCAGCGUAUGUGGGCAAACUUCAACUGCUCCAAAAGGCGAUGAAGAACGGACGAAAAAACUCGUAAAAUCACUACUGCAAAAGUACAAACAUUCAUCGCUUCACUCGGAACCUAAAAUACUAAUAGGUUUGUUGGCCAGACUCGUACCCCUUAAAAAAUUUCGACAGAUACAGAUUAAGAUAGAUACAAUCAUCAUUGCAAAUGAUUUCAUAAAUUAAGAAGAUUAUACGACCUGUAUUAUUGGGUGUAUACUGUAUAUAUCCAGAAUGCAUUAAAAGAGUAUAUUAUGGUGUGUAAUACUGUGUAUAGAAAUUGUUAUUAUUAUAUGCCAUUAUGGUUACAUCGAUGGCUAUAUACGUAAAAUAUAUGGAGGAUAAAGCGAUUACAACUUCAAUGUGCUAGAUCAAAACCUAUUCGUGAUGGAAACGAGGGAAAAUGUUGUUGUCUAUAUUAGCUGUCACGAGUGUGACGUUGUAAUAAGUUACCCUCAUCAUACACCUAAAUACCUGGUUGUUUAUCAUGAACCACCAUCGAGUAAAGGCAAUACUGCGAGUUAAUCUUCACGACGUAGACACAUGAUGAGAAAAUCUACACAAUGUGUUGUUUACAAUUCCAUCUGCGAUUACAACAUAUGAAUACACUGUUAAAAAAAAAUAAGGUGAACAUGUAAAGGUAAGGUACUCAUUUCCUUUGUAGAUCAAUAUGUACCAUCGUACGCUGCACAUGUUAAAAGACAUUUUAAUCGAAACUUUUGGCAUACAAUUCGAUUUUGGAUCAGUAGGCAAGUAACAAAAACUUUGUUAUCGUGUGGAAUAUUAUUCUUAGAGUACAAUAUUUGGUCUAGAUUAAAUUUAAAUCAAUAGAAAUUUAAAGAAAAUUUUUUCGAGGUAUAAAAUAAUUAAUCAUUGAAUUCAAAUUUAACAUUUCCAUUACACAGUAAUACAGUGACUUGCUCAAUGGAAAAAUAUACUUGCCGCAUCUCAUAUACGAGAUAUACUUUCACUGUUACUUCUAAUAAAUUGUAUUACCGUAUUACCUACCUAUUUAAAAUUUUAAUAUUUUUAAAUUAUAGUUCUCAAAACUAGAAAAAGAAAAGUUUUAUUAAAAUAUACAAUUAAUUUAUGACGUUUUUCUGAAUAUUUUUAACCAUUUAUAAUAGUUUUUAUUUUAAAUAUUUAGUGUUUUUGACUGUGAUUGGUGAUUAUUUACAUUUAAUUAACAUAUUAUAAUAUCACAGAGUAGUAAAAAUUAUCAUGACUAAUAAAUAAUUUAAAACAAUUGAUUUAACUAAAAUAAUGAUCAAUGAGAGCUUUUAUAUAUUAAAACUUUAUAAUCUUAUAUACGGUAUAUCUAUUGUUAUCUAUUGUUUUAUAAUAUACAACGAAUUAUAAUGUUUAUGAUUAUUGUGUACCUAAGUGGAAAAUAUAAAAAAAAUAUAUGUAAUAACUUAAUUCAAAAAACUUUAUUGUUAUAAAAUAUUUUAAAAUUAUAUUUAUUAUAAAAGUUUUUAUGUAUAGUGCAAAAGUUACAAUAAUAUUAUUAUUGUAAUAUCAUUUUUUACACAUUUUUUUUUGUGACUAAUGCAUACAAUGCCACAAAACAUAACAUAAUCUCAUAGUCCAACUGAAAUUUAAAAUGAAAUUGAAUUGCUUGUUUGGUUAUUUAUCCCCGUUUAUAAUUAACUAUACCACUGAUUAAAUAGAUCAACUAUAAACUACGUGGUGGGUGGAAAUCGUUUGAUUUUUCCAUCAGUAAUAUUUCCGGUAGGUGGUUUAAAUUAAUUGUGUAUUUAUAUUUAAUAUACAGUAUGCAUCAAAUAUGUUGUAACACAUUUAAAUGUAAAAUAAUUUGCAUGCAUAAUACAAAAAAAAAGUAAUAAUAUAAUUAAUUAAGGAUUGAUAUUUUAUAUACUUGUCCUAAGUAUGAUGAAUUAAUACAAAUUUUAUUUUGUAUAGCGUAUGCGGCUAUGGUAUUUUUUUUUAUCAAUCUGUGUGAAAAUUGUUUACACUAAGUGUAUAUCAAAUAUAAAUUUAAAAUUGUAUAUUAUCAUAAAUCGUCUUUUAUACUAUAUACAGUAGAGUCUCGAUAACUCGAAUUUCAAGGGAGGUAAAAAUUAAUUCGACUUAUGUAUUUUUCGAGUUACAAAUAUCGCAUUAAGUGUUUAAGAAUUCCAUAGAGACAAAAAGAAAUUCGAGUUAUAGAGGUUUUCUAGUUAUCGAGGUUCGAGUUAUCGAGACUCGACUGUAUAUGUAUUAUGUAUAAUAUAAUAAUAUGGGUAUUGGGUAUAACAUAAUAUAUUAUUUUAUUAACUGACAUGUCUUUCGGUGUUUAAAAUAGCCAAAAUCGAGAAACGGUUAAGCAGCGAACACUUUUUCUUAUUCGAUUCUUUAAUAAGCUUGUCGAAGAAAACAGUUUUCGUGACUUAUCCAAUAAAUAAUGUUGUAUUUUAUGAAAUUAUGAAAUGUUAAACUGUCUAUUCAAACUUAUUUCUAGUUGCACAUAUCGUGCUUUGACGAUUAUUUUACUACGAAAUUGGUUAGCAUAACAUAAAUUAUUCAGUGGUCUCGCAGAAAACCAUACUCUAUACCUAUCAUGCAGUAAACCUAAACAAUAAUAUUAUAUACAACGACAACGUAUAACACAUAACGUCCAUAUCAUAUUAUAAUAUUGUAAAUUUAUUGUGAUGCAGAAAACGAAAUAUAUCGGAUAGAAGGGAACCGUGGGAUGUAAAACAAUCACUUUUUACUGGUCCCUUCAGUGCUGUUAAAUUAUAAAUACGGUCUGGACUGUUUAUACAUUUAUAGGUAUACGAACAGUAAAACAAAGAAACGAAAACCUCAUAGUAUAUUAUUAUUGUAAACAAAAUAACAAACAUUUCAGAAAACUACCGAUCGUAUUUCGGACAUAACGCCAUACGUUCAUCCUAUAUAUAAUUGAAACGGGUUAUACCGUGGUUUAUAAAUUCAGUAGAAUUGUACCUGCUGAUGUAGGUGGUAAUAAUCCCUGUUGGCCGUCAAUGAAAACGCAGCCAUUUUGCGGUAUAGUGAAUGGUGACAAAAAGUUGUAUGUGAAAAAAAAAAUUAUCCAAAAUGACAGAGUUAAGUUCCAUAAAAUGUGUGUAAUUUUUUUUUUUAUUAAAUAAUUUCCUGUCAAUGUUUUAUCACACAUGUGAUUCAUUUACGCAUUUUUUAUGACAUCUAAAAAUCGUAAAAACAAAUAAUCUAUUUUAUUUUAUUAAAUUCUUAAUAAUGCAGAUUGAUUUUUCAGUACAUUUUCUAAGCAUACGAGUUUCUAAGUAUAUUUCAUCAAAUACAAUAGAUUAACAAUACGAAAUUCUAGAAUAUUAAGUAAUUUUAUGUUAUCUUUUAUCAGCGUUAAGCAAAAACAAUUGUUUUUAACUUCAUUAAAAAAUAACGAUAAUAAUAAUUAAUGGUAAGUUUAAGUCGUAUUUGUCAAUCUCUGGAUUUUGGAAAAUGUCAUCAUAAUUUUAUUUUAAUGUACUUGUCUAAUAUUUUAUUGUAUGUAUGCAUAUUUUGUAUAUUUUUAGACGUUAAAAUAGUAUAUUGUAUUUGGAGAACACUACUCACCUCACGACCGAUAUGACUUACAGUGUGUAAUUAUUAUUAUUUUUAAUUUUAAGGGAUUGUUCAGCAGUUAUUUGUUGGGGCGAUUGGUGAAUCUCCACCAAGCCUUGAUCGUCUACUCUCAGAAACGCCACUGCCCGGUUCACGGUGAUUGAACCGCGGCUCCUGUACAUGGAGAAAGGAUCGAUGAUGAAAAACGAACAAAGGCUGUAUAAAUGAAGUAUGAAGCAAUGAAAGUAUCGCAAGUUUUAUUAUCAUCAUCUAUAUAGGACUUAUAAGAAAACUACUCGUUCAACAUUCGACUUGAAAUUAUUUAAAUAUAACAAAACUAUCUGAUUAUAACAAUUUUAAUUGAAACCGGGCGUGUCUAAUUAAAAAAAAAGAUGCUUUUAUCACUGAUAGUAUACACAGUAAGCCGAAAUUAUGAAAUUGCUGAAUUUUAGAGCGUUUAAUCAAAUUAAUGUCAUUUUUAAUAACUUUAAACAUAUGUUAAUAUCAAAGUACCAUAGAAUGAUAAGAAAAUUAUAGCGAUGUAACACUUAUAAUUCGCUUAAAAUUAUACUAAUUAAUAUUCUCAAUAUUAAAUUCUAUAAAAAAAAUAAUAAUCUACGUAAUGGCGUCAUACACGUAUAAUGUAUAUUAUGUACAUCUAGUAUUGUAGUUUUAUAAAUUUAUAACGACAAAU